AUAAACUUUGCAUGGAAAAAAGUUGCAAGUACACAAAUUAUUUCCAUAGUUAGAAAUGACAACAUGAGCUAUUUGUUUCUGGAUUUUAUUAAAUACACACUUUUUUGCUAAAUAAGUGGGGAUGCGUUGCAAUGCUACAAGUAUGUCCACUGACAUAAUUACUGAAGAACAUCUGCAACCAUGAUAUGAUGUGGGAUGACACAGUGCAGUCUGAAUGCAGCAAGCUCAUUGUGGUUGGGCACUGGAUAUUUCAAGCAUGCUCAUCCAAAUUAUUUGUUUUUUGUGUGUUUAUUUGUCAUCUUUCCCAAGAUGAUGAACAACCACUGAAGGAUAAGAGCGUGCCGUACUGAUAAUAAAUCUGUUCCCUCUUUGUCAAGCUGUACGUGCACUCGUUGCCUGAUGCGAUGCCGGCCCCUGAUCCUGACACUCUUCUUCUACUGCUGUGGCUCCUCACACCCUCCAGACCUCCCUCCUUCACCCUGAUGCUCUACUUCUGUAUUUCUGACUCACUUUCUGCUGCUUUGGAUGGUCCCAUAUGGACAUCUGAAAGAUUUCCAUUUCCCAGAAACAGUUUAUAUCCUAGUCUCACUCUUGCUUCAGUUGUUACAGUGCUUUUUUUUUUCUUUUCCUUUUUUUACUUUAUAGACUCUACAGUUUCAUAAAUAAAUAAAUAAAUAUAUAAAUAUAUAAAAUGGUUCCAGUAGAUUUGGAGGUUCAGCCAUUACCCAAAGAGGAACUGACUACCCAGUGCAUAGUCAUGUUUAAUGGUUUAAGGGAAGAGGCAGUUAAAACAUAGCUGCCUGCUGUGAGAAAUGGGAAGUAACAUUUUAGCCCACACAAGUUUUGAGUUUUGCCUACUAUACGCCUCUGUAUAACGGAGGGCACCACUCUGUGGGUGUCUGUAGAGACCGUUUUAUGGGUUAUUUUUUGUCAGACAUUGAGGGCCACCCGGAAAAAAAUGGUCAAACCACUGCCAAAAUUCCGACCUCUGGAAUUCAACCUGCACGCGAAAAACAAGAGCCGGCAACCAGCAGGAUGGAGCUCAGUGUGUAAGAGUGGGGGAAGACUGGAGACAUUUUGGCAGCAGCAAGCAGACUGGCCAUGAUCUACCAGAGAGGAGAGACUGCGUCAUGGAAAUCCAACGCCACCACAUCAGACCGAGCUAAACAAACAAAAAGUGAGCGUUCAUCUCACUGCCUCAAGAAGCUUCAAGAAGCAUUAAUUGCUGCAGGAUGGAUGUCCUUAACGUAGAUCCACUUUGUUGAUUUAUUUUACGGUCCUUGUUAGAUAUAAGCGGGUGACGUAAGGAGAGAGAGUAAGAGACAGUUCUGUAACUUGUAGUCAUACAUUUAAUUCCCUGGUUUAACACCAGACAGCUGUCGAUUUCAAAGAGUACUUACCCCAAUAAAGAGAUUCCAUUUUCAUUCACAGAGCAGAGGGGCUAUAAAAGAGACAACGUGGCCUGGAUGUUGAGGUUUUGUCUUAUUUGUUUCUUUUAACAUGCAAUUUAAGCAGGCCCUUCAUGUGGAUUCCCCCCCUCUGCUUGUUCUGGGCCCUUAAAUGCAGCCUGAGCCCAAACCACAAUCAUAUAUUUCAUGAGAAACAAAACUUCCAGAGUAGAUCGUCUCUGUUUCUCUCACACACACACUAAGAAUGGAAAGCAACUAUGUUAAGAAAGGAAUGUGGCACAAAGUCGAGUCUGUGAAACUUUUUGAUUAUGCACAUAAACUGGUAAGAUGUAAACCAUAAAUUGAUGCCAAGUGAAUCAAGUGGAAUCUAAAAAUUAAUAAAUGAAAGAUAUCCGCCCACCAAAAAAAUGACCACAAGUCAGUAACAAUAAAAUCCUCAUGCUAGCACAAACAUUCUGUUUUUCAUUGUUUUGUUUUUAAACAAGCCAUGUCACUUCACAAAUCAGACCAGAGAGGGAAAAUGAAAUAAAUAAAAAUAAAAAAAAAUGUAUUAAAGUUUGUCAAAACUCUUUCCUUUGGCUGGCUUCAGAUAAAUAAUUAACAUACUGUAAAUGCAUGUGAUUGUACUACAGACGCCAAGGUGGUUCAGGUUUAGUAAACUGAAUCGGUUGAUUGGUUCUCCUACAUUUUGAGGACUUGGUUCGAUCCACUGAAAUAUUUUGCUGUGUCUACAUCCAGACUGCGGUGUGUCAGUUUUAGGGACAAAAAAGAAUAUAAUUUACAGACCCGCCAUGAUUUAGUGCAGACCACCAAUGUGGUUUCUGAAGGAUAUCUAGUGCUAGCAUUAGUCAUAAUUCCUUAGAAUGCUAACAGUAACCCAGCAACUAAAGUGGCAUUACUGAGGGCAUGUCCAACUUAUGAAAUGUAUUUUAUUUGUGGGUUAUUGGAUCAGAAUCCAUUCUAAUGCAUCCCUGUCUAUAGCUCCAUGUGCAAAUAUAUCUUCCUGUCUUCUCUUCACCACACUACAUGCUAACGACUGAGUGUUCAAAGUGCACUGAGUGCCGUGAUACACUGCACUGUUUGUCUUUCCUAAAUAAACCCCCAUCCAGGCUUUUGCACCUACUGCUUGCUCAUCAAUCAGCCUUAAACAGCUCGAGAGCUGGACUCCACACCAGCCUGCUGGAGAAAUGGGACCCUCUAAGAGCCAUUUGUCAGACGAUGCUGUCCUCACAUGGGCCAUCAGGAGGCCUGCUGACAGCCUUCAGCCAAGUGUGUGAACAGCAGCCGUGAACCUUCUGGAAAAAGAAAGGAGUAUAGUGUCCAUGCUGAUGGAGUGCGAGAUGGCGAUUGCGUUUGGAGCUUGUCUGAAGGAGUCUCAGUUUGAUAUCUAGAUAACAGGAGGAGAAGAGCAAAGAAUUGGAAGUGUGGAGCAACCUUCAAGAUUCUGAAGACUCCGAUGAUCCAUGAGCUGUGGGCAGAGCAUCUGAGGCUGAGUCUAACUUCUUGCCAACUUUGCAUCACACUAAAUGCUUCCCCCUCUUCACAUGCUUUUACACCCUGAAAGCUCAUUAAUCAAAUCAGUCCAAAGCAAAGAGAGUGGACACAGGGCUGAGAGUGGCAUUGUGAUGGUCACGAGGGUUUGUGCUUCACUGGUCAUAAAGCCCACACAGAAAACACACACACCUCAAAUUAUGUUACAUUCAUGGACAUUAUGCUGGCUGUACCUACCUUUGGAUGCACAUGCUAAAACAUGCAUGAAUGCAUAUGAUAGUCCAGUAAUUGCAAAUGUAAUAUGGUAUAUUUACAAAAAGACCAAGAUCUUGCACAAAAUUAGCCUGUUCUCUUCAACACAUGAUAUGUUUGUGUAAUCCCACAUAAACUCUCACAAGUCUUCAAAAACACACUUGACCAGUUUUGAAAAAGCCGGAGAUGACCUCAUGCUUUUUCCUUGGCCCAGGCAAUGUGUUCAGCAUCACUGGUUAUUUACUGUGAUGCUUUUCCUCAUAAUCAAAACAUGCACAUCAGCAAAGUCGCUCGAACAGAAGAGCAGCAAAGCAUUGAGUGUGUCUAAAAAGUCUGAGCAGGACACACUCCAGCUGGCAGCCAGUGUUUAGGAACCACAGAGGAAGAGCAGGUCUGGCAAACUUUAUACACUAAAAUGCGCCACUACACUCCUUUAGCAAACUCGGAUAAUCUCCGUGCUUGUCCGGCUUCACAAGGGCUGUGAUUUUUCAAGCUUUUGGUCUUAAAUAGAUUCAACAAUUCAGAUUAAUCCAGUAAAUCCAAUGCAAUCCAGAAACAGGAACCCCAAACACUGUACGCUUUUGUUUAAUACACCUGACUCAGCUCUAGAGAAUUAAAACCACGAGAUGGAGAAAAACCACAUGAGAUCUUCACAAAAGACAAAACCAAUGACUGGUUUAAUAAGUCAAGACAGUUACAUUUAGACAUUAAAAAGAAAGCUCAUCUUGCAGAUUGUGUAGACAAAAAAAAAAUCAUGCUUUUGCCAAACAGUUCCCUGAUGUUAAUGAAGUGUUCUCGGUGUACUACAGUCCACAUCUGCCCAAAUAUCAAAUCUCAACUAUGCCUUGGUUUUUGUUUAUCCGAUGUGUCACAUUAUCCAUCAUUUGUGACGAAAGCCAGGCUAAUCCAUUCUUUAUGCAUCAACAAACCCUACCACAUAUCCAAAGAGCUCAGCCAUCCAUCAACCUUUCAAUCCCUCUCUAUUUUUGGAGCCAUAUAUCAAAAAAUAAGAAUUACAAUCAAUCAUCUUCGAGAUGGAUCACAAAAUCCAAUGCUUCCCUUGACACAGUUUGUCUGAAAACAGUCAAUCCUUUUUUUUUCGUCGUUAAAGUAUUUUUGAGCAGGGAAAAAAAUAUCAUGCAUUUGGCAGUCAUACCCUGCAACAUGUCUUAUAAGUCGGGUUAGAUUUACUGCAUGGCCUGUCCAUAACUGAAGGGAUAGAAUGUGAGAGAGAGAGAGGAGGGAUGGACUAAGCGAGUCACUCGGGCAGUGUGUGUGUGUGUGCCGAGAGCUUAUGUUUCACAGCCCAUUUAACCACGGUGCCAUUUUUCAAAACCAAAUUCCCUCACACACUGCAACAAGGGUGUGGACUUACUGCAAAUUACACACAUACAGUAUAAGGAUCAGAGACAUAACAAAAUGUAAAUAUUACGUCCUGUCUAGGCAUAAAGGUCACAUAAGUGUCCCCCAACCUCCUCAUCUCAAAUGGCCAGACCAAACAUGAGGCAUCUGAGCAAUAAAAUAAUAAACAACCAUUAUUUAAGCACAUGCUUCAGAGUUGAUCACAUCACAAAAUAAACAACACGAGCCCCCAAACACUGGCUAAUGUUUUAAGAAAAGGAGACACAGAAAAAUAUAUAACUCCCUAACUGCCAGGACUUGUUAUAUAUAAAAAAAAAUAUAUAUAUAUAUGGCUUCUGUAUUAGUCUCUAGAUGUUUUACAGAUGUAUGGUAUGUCCGUUAAAUAUAAAAAAGAUGGUCUUUGACUUUAUAUUCACCUGAGUGUUUAACAAAACAGAACUACAUACUACACAAAGCAUCACUUUAAGAA
Pangasianodon hypophthalmus (striped catfish) is the source of this 4983-nucleotide long non-coding RNA. RefSeq lists it as uncharacterized. The record is from RefSeq and is a predicted model, not a curated record. Lineage: Eukaryota; Metazoa; Chordata; Actinopteri; Siluriformes; Pangasiidae. The transcript is spliced from 3 exons.